AACGAACGCUGGCGGCAGGCCUAACACAUGCAAGUCGAACGCAUCGCAAGAUGAGUGGCAGACGGGUGAGUAACGCGUGGGAACCUUCCCAGUGGUGCGGAAUAGCUCAGGGAAACUUGAGGUAAUACCGCAUGAGCCCGCAAGGGGAAAGAUUUAUCGCCAUUGGAUGGGCCCGCGUCGGAUUAGCUAGUUGGUGAGGUAACGGCUCACCAAGGCGACGAUCCGUAGCUGGUUUGAGAGAAUGACCAGCCACACUGGGACUGAGACACGGCCCAGACUCCUACGGGAGGCAGCAGUGGGGAAUAUUGGACAAUGGGCGCAAGCCUGAUCCAGCCAUGCCGCGUGAGUGACGAAGGCCUUAGGGUUGUAAAGCUCUUUUGGCGGGGACGAUAAUGACGGUACCCGCAGAAUAAGCCCCGGCUAACUUCGUG
RNAcentral lists this ribosomal RNA (431 nucleotides) under uncultured bacterium. Its description in RNAcentral is "bacterial SSU rRNA". It matches the Rfam family "Bacterial small subunit ribosomal RNA", at positions 29 to 507 of the family's 1533-position model. The record is from RNAcentral.